UAAUUUCUUCUUGUCUUUUUCUUCAAAUCACAUGAAAUCCUACAAGCCCUCACUUUUCAACUAUGUGUAGUCCCGAGUAGUACACCGUUAUAGUUUCUAUUUGCUGAAUCUUCAUCUUUGUGGUAUGUAGUUAGAUGAGGUCUGAGCCGUAAUUUGAAACAAAAGUUUAUGGGAAAAGAUUGGUUUUAUUGUUUCAUGCCUAAACCAAGUACAAGCCGAAACAGACAAAUUACAAAACUAAUCUUCGAGACACUGAAAAUAAUGCAAGUUUGGAUAUUAUUUUUCUCAUUCGUUUACCCUAAACCAUCUGAAUUUCACAACCCACAAUUACACAUGAAACUCAACUCUUUGAAACACAUAUUUCUCUGAACAAAACCAGAUUGCAGCCACAUGCUAAUCAGAAAAAUGAUUAUCUGACUCUAAACCUAUAUCCUGAAAUCGCCUGGCUGAGCCACCCUAGCCUUACUCAACCCUUUCCGUG
Arabidopsis thaliana (thale cress) is the source of this 481-nucleotide long non-coding RNA. RefSeq annotates it as other RNA. The transcript has a single exon. Lineage: Eukaryota; Viridiplantae; Streptophyta; Magnoliopsida; Brassicales; Brassicaceae. The record is from RefSeq.